This 274-nucleotide ribosomal RNA is filed under the name uncultured bacterium. RNAcentral's name for it is "partial 16S ribosomal RNA". It matches the Rfam family "Bacterial small subunit ribosomal RNA", at positions 523 to 796 of the family's 1533-position model. The record is from RNAcentral.
AUACGGAGGGUGCAAGCGUUAAUCGGAAUUACUGGGCGUAAAGCGUACGUAGGCGGUUAUUUAAGUCAGAUGUGAAAGCCCCGGGCUUAACUUGGGAACUGCAUUUGAAACUGGGUAACUAGAGUUUAGUAGAGGGGAGUGGAAUUUCAGGUGUAGCGGUGAAAUGCGUAGAGAUCUGAAGGAACACCAGUGGCGAAGGCGACUCCCUGGACUAAAACUGACGCUGAGGUACGAAAGCGUGGGUAGCAAACAGCAUUAGAUACCCCAGUAGUCC